AUUGAACGCUGGCGGCAGGCCUAACACAUGCAAGUCGAACGAGUGGCGGACGGGUGAGUAAUGUCUGGGAAACUGCCCGAUGGAGGGGGAUAACUACUGGAAACGGUAGCUAAUACCGCAUACCAUCGGAUGUGCCCAGAUGGGAUUAGCUAGUAGGGGGGGUAACGGCUCACCUAGGCGACGAUCCCUAGCUGGUCUGAGAGGAUGACCAGCCACACUGGAACGGAGACACGGCCCAGACUCCUAGGGGGGGCAGCAGGGGGGAAUAUUGCACAAGGGGCGAAAGCCGGAGGCAGCAAUGCCGCGUGUAUGAAGAAGGCCUGGGGGUUGUAAAGUACUUUCAGCGAGGAGGCGUUACGCGCAGAAGAAGCACCGGCUAACACCGUGCCAGCGGCCGCGGUAAUC
RNAcentral lists this ribosomal RNA (405 nucleotides) under uncultured bacterium. RNAcentral's name for it is "partial 16S ribosomal RNA". It matches the Rfam family "Bacterial small subunit ribosomal RNA", at positions 29 to 525 of the family's 1533-position model. The record is from RNAcentral.